RNAcentral lists this ribosomal RNA (420 nucleotides) under Escherichia coli. Its description in RNAcentral is "bacterial SSU rRNA". It matches the Rfam family "Bacterial small subunit ribosomal RNA", at positions 1 to 417 of the family's 1533-position model. The record is from RNAcentral. Lineage: Bacteria; Pseudomonadati; Pseudomonadota; Gammaproteobacteria; Enterobacterales; Enterobacteriaceae.
AAAUUGAAGAGUUUGAUCAUGGCUCAGAUUGAACGCUGGCGGCAGGCCUAACACAUGCAAGUCGAACGGUAACAGGAAGAAGCUUGCUUCUUUGCUGACGAGUGGCGGACGGGUGAGUAAUGUCUGGGAAACUGCCUGAUGGAGGGGGAUAACUACUGGAAACGGUAGCUAAUACCGCAUAACGUCGCAAGACCAAAGAGGGGGACCUUCGGGCCUCUUGCCAUCGGAUGUGCCCAGAUGGGAUUAGCUAGUAGGUGGGGUAACGGCUCACCUAGGCGACGAUCCCUAGCUGGUCUGAGAGGAUGACCAGCCACACUGGAACUGAGACACGGUCCAGACUCCUACGGGAGGCAGCAGUGGGGAAUAUUGCACAAUGGGCGCAAGCCUGAUGCAGCCAUGCCGCGUGUAUGAAGAAGGCCU